RNAcentral lists this microRNA precursor (77 nucleotides) under Microtus ochrogaster (prairie vole). Its description in RNAcentral is "miRNA (ENSMOCG00000009152.1)". The record is from RNAcentral. Lineage: Eukaryota; Metazoa; Chordata; Mammalia; Rodentia; Cricetidae.
AUGUGUGUGUUUCUAUGACAUGCACAUGUAUGUGCACACUCAAAUGCACGUGCACACACACACAUAAGUAAACACAA